GCCCGGCAGCGGGCCCUGGCCGACGCGCGGGCGCUGCGGGCGCUCGCCGAGGCCCGCUCCGCCCCCGGCGUCGGGCC
This 77-nucleotide transfer RNA is filed under the name Streptomyces fumanus. RNAcentral's name for it is "tRNA-Arg(gcg)". The record is from RNAcentral. Lineage: Bacteria; Bacillati; Actinomycetota; Actinomycetes; Kitasatosporales; Streptomycetaceae.